GGCGCCAUAGCCAAGUGGUAAGGCAGAGGACUGCAACUCCUCUAUCGUCAGUUCGAUUCUGACUGGCGCCUCCA
RNAcentral lists this transfer RNA (74 nucleotides) under Exiguobacterium sp. RNAcentral's name for it is "tRNA-Cys". It matches the Rfam family "tRNA". Rfam says of the family: Transfer RNA (tRNA) molecules are approximately 80 nucleotides in length. Their secondary structure includes four short double-helical elements and three loops (D, anti-codon, and T loops). Further hydrogen bonds mediate the characteristic L-shaped molecular structure. tRNAs have two regions of fundamental functional importance: the anti-codon, which is responsible for specific mRNA codon recognition, and the 3' end, to which the tRNAs corresponding amino acid is attached (by aminoacyl-tRNA synthetases). tRNAs cope with the degeneracy of the genetic code in two manners: having more than one tRNA (with a specific anti-codon) for a particular amino acid; and 'wobble' base-pairing, i.e. permitting non-standard base-pairing at the 3rd anti-codon position. Lineage: Bacteria; Bacillati; Bacillota; Bacilli; Caryophanales. RNAcentral also lists the same sequence under 21 other names. The record is from RNAcentral.